RNAcentral lists this small RNA (580 nucleotides) under uncultured fungus. RNAcentral describes it as "eukaryotic LSU rRNA". The stretch from base 217 to 370 matches the Rfam family "5.8S ribosomal RNA". Lineage: Eukaryota; Fungi. The record is from RNAcentral.
CAUUAGUGAAGAUUUGGGCAGGCCAUACGGACGCCAAAAAGUGUCCCUGGCCGCCUACACCCACUAUACAUCCACAAACCCGUGUGCGCUGUCUUGGAGAAAGGCUUCAGAGAAGUUUUUUGUGGCCUCUCUUGGGGUCUUUCUUCGCUACAAACUCGAAUGGUUAGUAUGAACGUGGAACUUGGUUGGACCGUCACUGGCCAACAAACUAUACACAACUUUCGACAACGGAUCUCUUGGUUCUCCCAUCGAUGAAGAACGCAGCGAAACGCGAUAGGUAAUGUGAAUUGCAGAAUUCCGUGAAUCAUCGAAUCUUUGAACGCACCUUGCGCUCUAUGGCAAUCCGUAGAGCAUGCCUGUUUGAGUGCCAUGAAAUCUCCCACCCCAAGCGGUUUUUAAAUGAAACGGCUUGGCGGAUGGGGUCUGGAUGGGUGCCUCUGCCUGCGCUACCCUGCACAGGCUCGCCCGAAAUGCAUGAGCGCCUUGAGACACUUUGCAUCCGCCUCUCUGUUUGGGAGGAGGCGGCCAAGCAGUGUUUUUCUCCUGGCAUGGCAUGAUACGUCAUUUGCUAUGUCGCCUA